CAGUAGCCGCGGUAAUACGUAGGUGGCAAGCGUUGUCCGGAAUUAUUGGGCGUAAAGGGCUCGUAGGCGGUCUCUUAAGUCUGAUGUGAAAGCCCCCGGCUCAACCGGGGAGGGUCAUUGGAAACUGGGAAACUUGAGUGCAGAAGAGGAGAGUGGAAUUCCACGUGUAGCGGUGAAAUGCGUAGAGAUGUGGAGGAACACCAGUGGCGAAGGCGACUCUCUGGUCUGUAACUGACGCUGAGGAGCGAAAGCGUGGGGAGCGAACAGGAUUAGAUACCCCUGUAGUCCCUGUCUCUUAUAC
Molecule: ribosomal RNA, 301 nt
Filed under: uncultured bacterium
Lineage: Bacteria
Description: partial 16S ribosomal RNA
Rfam family: Bacterial small subunit ribosomal RNA
Source: RNAcentral